CAGCCGCCGCGGUAAUACGUAGGUGGCAAGCGUUGUCCGGAAUUAUUGGGCGUAGAGGGCUCGCAGGCGGUUUCUUAAGUCUGAUGUGAAAGCCCCCGGCUCAACCGGGGAGGGUCAUUGGAAACUGGGAAACUUGAGUGCAGAAGAGGAGAGUGGAAUUCCACGUGUAGCGGUGAAAUGCGUAGAGAUGUGGAGGAACACCAGUGGCGAAGGCGACUCUCUGGUCUGUAACUGACGCUGAGGAGCGAAAGCGUGGGGAGCGAACAGGAUUAGAUACCCCGGUAGUCCCUGUCUCUUAUAC
This 301-nucleotide ribosomal RNA is filed under the name uncultured bacterium. RNAcentral describes it as "partial 16S ribosomal RNA". It matches the Rfam family "Bacterial small subunit ribosomal RNA", at positions 509 to 807 of the family's 1533-position model. The record is from RNAcentral.